AAUACAUGCAAGUCGAGCGGACCGACGGGAGCUUGCUCCCUUAGUCAGCGGCGGACGGGUGAGUAACACGUGGGUAACCUGCCUGUAAGACUGGGAUAACUCCGGGAAACCGGGGCUAAUACCGGAUGCUUGAUUGAACCGCAUGGUUCCAAUCAUAAAAGGUGGCUUUUAGCUACCACUUACAGAUGGACCCGCGGCGCAUUAGCUAGUUGGUGAGGUAACGGCUCACCAAGGCGACGAUGCGUAGCCGACCUGAGAGGGUGAUCGGCCACACUGGGACUGAGACACGGCCCAGACUCCUACGGGAGGCAGCAGUAGGGAAUCUUCCGCAAUGGACGAAAGUCUGACGGAGCAACGCCGCGUGAGUGAUGAAGGUUUUCGGAUCGUAAAACUCUGUUGUUAGGGAAGAACAAGUACCGUUCGAAUAGGGCGGCACCUUGACGGUACCUAACCAGAAAGCCACGGCUAACUACGUGCCAGCAGCCGCGGUAAUACGUAGGUGGCAAGCGUUGUCCGGAAUUAUUGGGCGUAAAGCGCGCGCAGGCGGUUUCUUAAGUCUGAUGUGAAAGCCCCCGGCUCAACCGGGGAGGGUCAUUGGAAACUGGGGAACUUGAGUGCAGAAGAGGAGAGUGGAAUUCCACGUGUAGCGGUGAAAUGCGUAGAGAUGUGGAGGAACACCAGUGGCGAAGGCGACUCUCUGGUCUGUAACUGACGCUGAGG
This 720-nucleotide ribosomal RNA is filed under the name uncultured Bacilli bacterium. RNAcentral describes it as "bacterial SSU rRNA". It matches the Rfam family "Bacterial small subunit ribosomal RNA", at positions 50 to 751 of the family's 1533-position model. The record is from RNAcentral. Lineage: Bacteria; Bacillati; Bacillota; Bacilli.